GAGAUCAACAGAUAGCAGUAUUUAUAAGUGUUUAUAUUUAUAUGUAAUUAUAUUCCCUCUAUGUUUGUGACAUGUUUUUGAAAGUAAAGAAAUUCAAGUUUUCUCACUUUACUUCUAAAUUCUUCCAUUGCAUUUUUUUAACCACCUCUACACUUGGUCCAAAAUCUUUCAGCUGCAAGGCCACCCACGAUUCAGUGAGAAUUGACUUGUUCACUUCAGAUGAAAAUAUUUUUUUUGAGAUGGCAGAAUUUUGGUAAUAUGGUGGUUUAGCUCGGCAGAAGUUAGUAAAGGAAAAAGAUUUGGGAGAAUGAAUUAGAUGUACUGAAGAGGAAUAAAAAUGUGCCGAUCAGUGUAUGGCAAAAUUUGGAAAACCAAAUUAGGAGUUUAUGGUUUGAUUAAAGGGGAAUCUGUGCAAGGGUUAUUUGUGGAACUAUAUUCUAUAUAUGAACUAUAGGUCAGAUUCCUGGCACAUUAUUACUAUUAUUAUUUAUAAAGCGCCAACAAGUUCCGUAGCGCUGUACAAUUGGUGGAAUAACAGACACGUAUUUGUUACCAGACAAGUGUAAUGCACAGGAACAGAGGGGUUGAGGGCCCUGCUCAAUGAGCUUACAUGCUAGAGGGAGUGGGAUAUAGUGACACAAAAGGUAAGGGUAGGGUAGAAAGGGAAUUAAACUGGGGAG
Non-coding RNA from Pelobates cultripes (western spadefoot toad), 680 nucleotides. NCBI's taxonomy places the organism in Eukaryota, Metazoa, Chordata, Amphibia, Anura, Pelobatidae. The record is from the annotation of a GenBank genome assembly.